This 253-nucleotide unclassified non-coding RNA is filed under the name uncultured Parcubacteria group bacterium. RNAcentral describes it as "contains 16S-23S intergenic spacer region". It matches the Rfam family "Bacterial small subunit ribosomal RNA", at positions 524 to 776 of the family's 1533-position model. The record is from RNAcentral.
UACGUAGACCCCGAGCGUUAUCCGGAUUUAUUGGGCGUAAAGCGUGGGUAGGGGGUCUGAUAAGUCGGUGGUUAAAUCAGGGGGCUUAACCUUCUGGCCGCUAUCGAUACUGUCAGACUAGAGGAUGUUAGAGGCAUGCAGAACGCACGGUGUAGGGGUGAAAUCCGUUGAUAUCGUGCGGAAUACCAAAGGCGAAGGCAGCAUGCUGGGGCAUUCCUGACCCUGAGCCACGAAAGCGUGGGGAGCAAAAAGG